RNAcentral lists this unclassified non-coding RNA (223 nucleotides) under Hevea brasiliensis (rubber tree). The record is from RNAcentral. Lineage: Eukaryota; Viridiplantae; Streptophyta; Magnoliopsida; Malpighiales; Euphorbiaceae.
AUCAUGCAGUUUCUAACAUUCUCCAUUUGGAUGUCCUGGAAGGAUAUGCCUGAAACAGAUCCCGUCCCACCUUGCCAUGUCUUGAUCCUCACACCAUUGUCUGAAUCUCUUAUAAUUGCAUUUCUAACUGUUAUGUUGGAGACACAUGCCUGGGAAUUAUGUACUCCUAGGCUUCCAAUGCUAAUCCCGUGACUAGGGCCGCAGGUGACAGCCUCGAUAUCAA